Molecule: long non-coding RNA, 393 nt
Filed under: Panax ginseng (ginseng)
Lineage: Eukaryota; Viridiplantae; Streptophyta; Magnoliopsida; Apiales; Araliaceae
Description: long non-coding RNA (PGIN_LNC016570)
Source: RNAcentral
AAAUACAGUACGAUUUGUAGUAGCAUCAUCAUCAAUAUCUACAACAAAUCUGUUUAUGGGUCCCCAAACUCCCCUCACGAGGCACUACCCACACUUGAACCUCCCAAUGAUGGAUGACCACCAUAAUAAGACUCACUUUAUAUUUUUUUCAGCUUCAUUUCUUUGUCUUUCCUCCUUGGAGUCCAUAUUUUUCUUCAUAUAUGAAGCAAACUCUUCAUUCACUUCACUUGGUACUUUCUUGCAAGCCUCAACGUUACUAUGAUUACCUACAAGAUGAUUUUUCAACCUUGUAAUCCCUCCUUUACAAAUUUUCUUACAAAAAUUGCAUUCCACGUAUAAAUGAGCUUUAUUAACUCUCGGAGCUGCAGUGCCAUAUUUUCAAGCUGGAUCUUU